This 2114-nucleotide long non-coding RNA is filed under the name Homo sapiens (human). Its description in RNAcentral is "HSALNT0116377". Lineage: Eukaryota; Metazoa; Chordata; Mammalia; Primates; Hominidae. The record is from RNAcentral.
UAAUUCUCUCAUUCAACAAUUUUUUAGCCCCUAUUAGACUCUGGCACCAUUCUAGGAAUUGGUGGACAAGGCAGACUCCCUGCCUUCAUGGAGCUAGAAGGUAGUGCAGAUGGUGACAAUGAUUAUUAAACAAAUAAAAACACUGCUGGAAUUUAGGCAAGAUGGAGGACCUCCAUGAGGCUGGGCUAUGAAAUGAUGGAGGAGAGGAUGGGAAUUACAGGGUGGUCGUGGUAACGGAUAUUAGAGCAGAUAAGAGAUUAGCAGGAACAUGACUAAAGAGAGGGAGAAGGAAAUGUGAACAUCCGGCGGCCGGGGUUCUUGGUAGAAAAACCAGUAAGUGCAAAGACAUCAGACGUGGACAUGAGCUUGGUAUGUUUAGAAAACAAUGUGGCUGGGGAGGAGCAGCACGAAGGAGCCCAAGAGAGGAUAAGCAGAGCUGAUUUGGGGACCUGAUCAUGAAGAACCGUGAAGGACUUGCUGAUCUCAGUCUGCUGGGGGAAUGGGAACUAUGAGAGGAAGAGAGAGAUCAAGGACAGCUACCAAGAUUUGGGCCUGUGUGACUGGUCGGAUUUUAAGUGUGGGUUAUAAAACCAGCUCUCAGUGCAUUAUUACAGAUGGGCAGAUUUAUGAUGAAAACAUGAGGAAUUUUCCUAUAUAUUAUUUCUAUUUUUUCAGAGAAAAGUUGUAAAGUCCUCUGCUGGGACUGAGAAUGACAGAGGGGCUAUUGGGCACCCAACGAGAGGAAGAAGUAUGGAAUGGACAUUCGGGAGAUAAGGAGGCAAGCAUCCUGGGAUCUUGGUCUCUGAAGGCUGCAGCUCAGUAGAUUGUCAAAAGGCACUUUUCUCCCAACAUCAAUAUCCCUCCAAUCAAGAAACCCAGUAAAAAGUGAAGGACGCAAUUUAGGAUAAAAAGCAUACAGAUGUAUUUGAUCAUAGUUCGAUGUGACGUAGGAGCCUUCAGAAUGAAGAACCAAAAACACAGGAGAAGCCGCAAAUCUUUAUGCUUAGGUUCAACACAGGGUGGACAGCUGUGUGGAGAUAAGUUUGGACAAAAAGGAUGUGAUCUAAUGCUGAUAGGCUGAGUGGGGACUCAGCAGGGCCUGUCUGUCCGGAUUCUUCUUGGCCUCUCUGAGCAGCAUUCCUUCCUUCUGGGUAUGUGGCAGGACCCUCUCUGGAAUUACAGUCUUACCACCUACAGUCAAACAGAGUAGGUCAGAUAAUUUCUUUCUUUCAAUGUUUUAUUUUCAAUUCCGGGGGUACGUGUGCUUGUUUGUUACAUGGGAAUUGCUCGUGAAAUGAGGAGGACUGGGCCUCUAGUGAACCCAUCACCCAAAUGUUGAACACUGUACCCAACAGGAAAUUUUUCAACACUCACUCCUCUCCCACCCUCCCCCCUUUUGGAGUUCCCAGUGUCUAUUAUCUCCAUGUUCAUGUCCACGUGUAUCCAUUGUUUCACUGCCUCUUACAGGUGAGAACAUGCGAUAUUUGAUCUGCUUCUGAGUUAGUUCCCUUAGGAUAAUGGCCUCCAGCUCCAACCAUGUUGCACAAAGGCCAUGAUUUCAUUCUUUUUUAUGGAUGCAUAGUAUCCCAUGGUAUAUGCAUCACAUUUUCUUCUAGUCCAUCAUUGGUGGACACUUAGUUUGAUGACUUUGCUAUUGUGUAUAGAGUUGCAAUAAAUAUACAAAUGCAGGUGCCUUUUUUAAUAUAAUGCUUUAUUUUCCUUUGGGCAGAUAUCCAGUAGUGGGAUUUCUGGGUUGAAUGGUAGUUCUAUUUUUGGUUCUUUGAGAAAUCCCCAUACUGUUUUCCAUAGAGGUGGAACUAAUUUACAUUCCCACCAACAGUACAUAAGCAUAAAGCAUGUUUACUAUACUAAUAUAUGACUGUGCCAGAUUAACUCUUUAUAAUAGGAAUGAGAAACACAUUGAUAAAUGCCAACCCUGGUCCUCAUGGAGACAGAGAAGCUGGCAGCCAAUUCCAUAGGAUAAGUGCCUUCAGAGAUAUAAGCAAGGAGCUGUUAUGCCACAGGAGAGGGAGAAAGGAACUGCUGGGGGAACUUAAAAGGGUGACAUAAGACACAGCCUCUGAGGUGGAUUGGAAAAGAUGGCUAUAAACUUG